Molecule: ribosomal RNA, 908 nt
Filed under: Aspergillus niger
Lineage: Eukaryota; Fungi; Ascomycota; Eurotiomycetes; Eurotiales; Aspergillaceae
Description: LSU rRNA
Rfam family: Eukaryotic large subunit ribosomal RNA
Source: RNAcentral
GCAUAUCAAUAAGCGGAGGAAAGAAACCAACCGGGAUUGCCUCAGUAACGGCGAGUGAAGCGGCAAGAGCUCAAAUUUGAAAGCUGGCUCCUUCGGAGUCCGCAUUGUAAUUUGCAGAGGAUGCUUUGGGUGCGGCCCCCGUCUAAGUGCCCUGGAACGGGCCGUCAGAGAGGGUGAGAAUCCCGUCUUGGGCGGGGUGUCCGUGCCCGUGUAAAGCUCCUUUCGACGAGUCGAGUUGUUUGGGAAUGCAGCUCUAAAUGGGUGGUAAAUUUCAUCUAAAGCUAAAUACUGGCCGGAGACCGAUAGCGCACAAGUAGAGUGAUCGAAAGAUGAAAAGCACUUUGAAAAGAGAGUUAAACAGCACGUGAAAUUGUUGAAAGGGAAGCGCUUGCGACCAGACUCGCCCGCGGGGUUCAGCCGGCAUUCGUGCCGGUGUACUUCCCCGUGGGCGGGCCAGCGUCGGUUUGGGCGGCCGGUCAAAGGCCCCUGGAAUGUAGUACCCUCCGGGGUACCUUAUAGCCAGGGGUGCAAUGCGGCCAGCCUGGACCGAGGAACGCGCUUCGGCACGGACGCUGGCAUAAUGGUCGUAAACGACCCGUCUUGAAACACGGACCAAGGAGUCUAACAUCUACGCGAGUGUUCGGGUGUCAAACCCGUGCGCGCAGUGAAAGCGAACGGAGGUGGGAGCCCCCUCGCGGGGCGCACCAUCGACCGAUCCUGAUGUCUUCGGAUGGAUUUGAGUAAGAGCGUAAAUGUGGGGACCCGAAAGAUGGUGAACUAUGCCUGAAUAGGGCGAAGCCAGAGGAAACUCUGGUGGAGGCUCGCAGCGGUUCUGACGUGCAAAUCGAUCGUCAAAUUUGGGUAUAGGGGCGAAAGACUAAUCGAACCAUCUAGUAGCUGGUUCCUGC